AUUGAACGCUGGCGGCAGGCCUAACACAUGCAAGUCGAGCGGAUUUUGGAGGGCUUGCUCUCCAAGGUUAGCGGCGGACGGGUGAGGAAUACGCAGGAAUCUACCUAGUAGUGGGGGAUAACGUUCCGAAAGGAACGCUAAUACCGCAUACGACCUACGGGUGAAAGCAGGGGACCUUCGGGCCUUGCGCUAUUGGAUGAGCCUGCGUCGGAUUAGCUGGUUGGUGGGGUAAAGGCCUACCAAGGCGACGAUCCGUAGCUGGUCUUAGAGGAUGAUCAGCCACACUGGGACUGAGACACGGCCCAGACUCCUACGGGAGGCAGCAGUGGGGAAUAUUGGACAAUGGGCGAAAGCCUGAUCCAGCCAUGCCGCGUGUGUGAAGAAGGCCUCGG
This 392-nucleotide ribosomal RNA is filed under the name uncultured bacterium. RNAcentral describes it as "bacterial SSU rRNA". It matches the Rfam family "Bacterial small subunit ribosomal RNA", at positions 30 to 420 of the family's 1533-position model. The record is from RNAcentral.